AGUCUCAGCCAUACCACCAUAAAUAUACUCAAUCUCAUCUGGUCUCAGAAGCUAAGUAGGGUCAGGCCUGAUUAGUACUUGGAUGGAAGACAAACCUUCAAAAGAGACCGUUCAGAGAGAGACAGUUUGGAGACAA
RNAcentral lists this ribosomal RNA (136 nucleotides) under Castor canadensis (American beaver). Lineage: Eukaryota; Metazoa; Chordata; Mammalia; Rodentia; Castoridae. The record is from RNAcentral.